ACGAUGAAGCCCAGCUUGCUGGGUGGAUUAGUGGCGAACGGGUGAGUAACACGUGAGUAACCUGCCCUUGACUCUGGGAUAAGCGCUGGAAACGGCGUCUAAUACCGGAUACGACCUGCCCCGGCAUCGGGUGUGGGUGGAAAGUUUUUCGGUCAAGGAUGGACUCGCGGCCUAUCAGCUUGUUGGUGAGGUAAUGGCUCACCAAGGCGACGACGGGUAGCCGGCCUGAGAGGGUGACCGGCCACACUGGGACUGAGACACGGCCCAGACUCCUACGGGAGGCAGCAGUGGGGAAUAUUGCACAAUGGGCGAAAGCCUGAUGCAGCAACGCCGCGUGGGGGAUGACGGCCUUCGGGUUGUAAACCUCUUUUAGUAGGGAAGAAGGACUUCGGUUUGACGGUACCUGCAGAAAAAGCACCGGCUAACUACGUGCCAGCAGCCGCGGUAAUACGUAGGGUGCAAGCGUUGUCCGGAAUUAUUGGGCGUAAAGAGCUCGUAGGCGGUUUGUCGCGUCUGCUGUGAAAACCCGAGGCUCAACCUCGGGCCUGCAGUGGGUACGGGCAGACUAGAGUGCGGUAGGGGAGAAUGGAAUUCCUGGUGUAGCGGUGGAAUGCGCAGAUAUCAGGAGGAACACCGAUGGCGAAGGCAGUUCUCUGGGCCGUAACUGACGCUGAGGAGCGAAAGCAUGGGGAGCGAACAGGAUUAGAUACCCUGGUAGUCCAUGCCGUAAACGUUGGGCGCUAGAUGUGGGGACCUUUCCACGGUUUCCGUGUCGCAGCUAACGCAUUAAGCGCCCCGCCUGGGGAGUACGGCCGCAAGGCUAAAACUCAAAGGAAUUGACGGGGGCCCGCACAAGCGGCGGAGCAUGCGGAUUAAUUCGAUGCAACGCGAAGAACCUUACCAAGGCUUGACAUAUACCGGAAACUUCCAGAAAUGGUUGCCCCGCAAGGUCGGUAUACAGGUGGUGCAUGGUUGUCGUCAGCUCGUGUCGUGAGAUGUUGGGUUAAGUCCCGCAACGAGCGCAACCCUCGUUCUAUGUUGCCAGC
Molecule: ribosomal RNA, 1046 nt
Filed under: bacterium
Lineage: Bacteria
Description: bacterial SSU rRNA
Rfam family: Bacterial small subunit ribosomal RNA
Source: RNAcentral